Molecule: long non-coding RNA, 787 nt
Filed under: Anser cygnoides (Swan goose)
Lineage: Eukaryota; Metazoa; Chordata; Aves; Anseriformes; Anatidae
Description: lncRNA (ENSACDG00005019109.1)
Source: RNAcentral
AUGAUAAAGGUUAAAAAUGGAGGAGGAGAAAACAAAAACAAACAAACAAACAUGCCAGCAUCUUGUAGCAAAAGAUGUUGUCACCAGCUGAUCCUGUGUGCCCUUUCAUUUAUUUUCCAUCCAAAGAGUCACUGGCUUGUUGAACUACAUACCGUCUCCUCCUCCACUGUUUUGUGUUUAUGGGAAGGUCUGGAUUCCUUCUGAGUUUUGGAGUGGUCAGGGAAGAAGAGAAGAUGAGAAGAGGUUUUUCACAGAGUAUCUUCUUAUUGCUACCUCAUCCAGUUAUCACAGACUGAGGAAAACUUUUCUGUCCAAUUCACUGCAUUUGCCAUUAUUUCAAAUUGUUUUGCUUCAGACUUGAAAAGGGGAGAUUUUUAAAAGUUUCUUUUGAAAAGCUGAAAGGAUGGGAAAUAACUGAAGUUUCUAGAAGGAAGGAAAGAUAAGAGAACACAAGAUCAAAAUCACAAGAAAGAAACGGUAUUUAAAAUGUUUGUGGAUGUUCACUGUUAUUUCACCAUUUGUCUACAGCAUUGUGCAUACAACCCAGAGAAGAAAUAUGUGAUGUAACAUAACUGACUACCCCUCAACUGCUUUCUUCCAAAGUAAACUAACAAGAAAAACCAAUUCUGUUUAAAGAGUCCAGAAAAAACGGGUGUUAAAGAUACUCAGAAACAUUUUGUGUAUACAAAAUGCUAUCAACUAUAAUUUUGAGCUAAGGAUAAUUGAAGUAGAUACAAAAAUACACAGCAUAAAUAAACACUCUAGACUUUGCUGGUAAGUGGAAACC